CAACGUGAUCAGCCGUCCUGAAGAAGUCACUAAAUGCGCGCUGCUGCAGCUCUAUGUUGGUCUGCAUCGACGCUUCGGGGACAUGUUGUUCUCGAGUGACCUCCCAGAAGGCAUCAAGGAAGAGGGAGAGCUUGACCCAAAACUCCUGUUUCAGCUUGUACUACAGUCGCACGGCCUGCUAAUCAUCGUCUUUGUGCUGUUGCUGGCCGAGGCCGUGCCGCUCGUCGGAUUGGCUGUUCUGUGGAAGUGCUGCAUGGAGAGGCCAGACG
This is a long non-coding RNA of Dermacentor silvarum, 269 nucleotides long. RefSeq lists it as uncharacterized. The record is from RefSeq and is a predicted model, not a curated record. The transcript is spliced from 3 exons. Lineage: Eukaryota; Metazoa; Arthropoda; Arachnida; Ixodida; Ixodidae.